This 837-nucleotide ribosomal RNA is filed under the name uncultured bacterium. RNAcentral describes it as "bacterial SSU rRNA". It matches the Rfam family "Bacterial small subunit ribosomal RNA", at positions 1 to 810 of the family's 1533-position model. The record is from RNAcentral.
GGCUUAGAGUUUGAUCAUGGCUCAGGACGAACGCUGGCGGCGUGCCUAAUACAUGCAAGUCGAACGAAACUUUCUUACACCGAAUGCUUGCAUUCACCGUAAGAAGUUGAGUGGCGGACGGGUGAGUAACACGUGGGUAACCUGCCUAAAAGAAGGGGAUAACACUUGGAAACAGGUGCUAAUACCGUAUAUCUCUAAGGAUCGCAUGAUUCUUAGAUGAAAGAUGGUUCUGCUAUCGCUUUUAGAUGGACCCGCGGCGUAUUAACUAGUUGGUAGGGUAACGGCCUACCAAGGUGAUGAUACGUAGCCGAACUGAGAGGUUGAUAGGCCACAUUGGGACUGAGACACGGCCCAAACUCCUACGGGAGGCAGCAGUAGGGAAUCUUCCACAAUGGACGCAAGUCUGAUGGAGCAACGCCGCGUGAGUGAAGAAGGUCUUCGGAUCGUAAAACUCUGUUGUUAGAGAAGAACACGAGUGAGAGUAACUGUUCAUUCGAUGACGGUAUCUAACCAGCAAGUCACGGCUAACUACGUGCCAGCAGCCGCGGUAAUACGUAGGUGGCAAGCGUUGUCCGGAUUUAUUGGGCGUAAAGGGAACGCAGGCGGUCUUUUAAGUCUGAUGUGAAAGCCUUCGGCUUAACCGGAGUAGUGCAUUGGAAACUGGAAGACUUGAGUGCAGAAGAGGAGAGUGGAACUCCAUGUGUAGCGGUGAAAUGCGUAGAUAUAUGGAAGAACACCAGUGGCGAAAGCGGCUCUCUGGUCUGUAACUGACGCUGAGGUUCGAAAGCGUGGUAGCAAACAGGAUUAGAUACCCUGGUAGUCCACGCCGUAAACGAU